This 238-nucleotide transfer-messenger RNA is filed under the name Clostridiales bacterium. Its description in RNAcentral is "partial transfer-messenger RNA". It matches the Rfam family "transfer-messenger RNA", at positions 1 to 253 of the family's 374-position model. Rfam says of the family: Bacterial tmRNA, also known as 10Sa RNA or SsrA, is named for its dual tRNA and mRNA-like properties. The record is from RNAcentral. Lineage: Bacteria; Bacillati; Bacillota; Clostridia; Eubacteriales.
GGGGGCGUACUGGUUUCGACGGGGGUAAGACGUGUUUGAGUAGCGAGUCGAAGGUCUCCUGUACCUGCGUUAAAAAAACGGGAAUUAAAUAUAAACGCAAACGAAAAUAACAAUUUAGCAUUAGCAGCUUAGUCUGCAUGCCGUCAGCCUAAGAGUACCGCGGCUUAGGAUCUGGCGUCGACAGCGGUGAAACGAGCCUGAGUAAGCUUUGCCUCAGGAACGGGAUUUAUGAAGCUAC